Molecule: long non-coding RNA, 597 nt
Filed under: Bos indicus x Bos taurus (hybrid cattle)
Lineage: Eukaryota; Metazoa; Chordata; Mammalia; Artiodactyla; Bovidae
Description: lncRNA (ENSBIXG00000029152.1)
Source: RNAcentral
UGUAGGCCGAGGCCGGGCGAGGCUUAAUUUGCUGUUAAUGAAUCUUUCCCAGAAAGUCCGCGAUCUUCAGCUAACUAGACGCUUGAAGAAAAGCUGCCAUCCAAGAAGACGACAUGCUUUCAGCAACCCCCCUGUAUGGGAACGUUCACAGCUGGAUGAACAGCGAGAGGGUCCGCAUGUGUGGAAUCAGUGACGACAGGUGAAUGCAUGGGUCUGGCUGAGGCCUGGGGAGCAUGCGGGUCCUUCCCUGGGGCUCCUAAGCAGAGCCCCCUUCACCUCCUCACAGCCAGAGUGGGCCCAAAGGGGGGUGGUGGGGGGAGAUCUCCUGCCUAGCUGGCAGCCUUGAUUUACAGUUUUAACAGGCAACCCGGCUCAGCGAAGCAUUGCCGCCCUUUAAGAGAUUAGCCCCUAAAGCGGCCUUUCAGUGCUCUUUCGUCCUUAAUUUAUUAUUUCAUAUUUAUGAAGGAGAAUUAAUCCCAGUCUAUAUGCUGCUUUAACUCUAAAUGUCAGGAGUGUGGGCCCAGGUGGAUCGGCAUUCGAUGUGCUUUUAAAACAAAUAGUUUGCUCAGUAAUAAAUGGGGCAAAAGCCACCCUUCA